This 1049-nucleotide ribosomal RNA is filed under the name Priestia megaterium. Its description in RNAcentral is "bacterial SSU rRNA". It matches the Rfam family "Bacterial small subunit ribosomal RNA", at positions 35 to 1068 of the family's 1533-position model. Lineage: Bacteria; Bacillati; Bacillota; Bacilli; Caryophanales; Bacillaceae. The record is from RNAcentral.
GCUGGGGGGGCUAUACUGCAAGUCGAGCGAACUGAUUAGAAGCUUGCUUCUAUGACGUUAGCGGCGGACGGGUGAGUAACACGUGGGCAACCUGCCUGUAAGACUGGGAUAACUUCGGGAAACCGAAGCUAAUACCGGAUAGGAUCUUCUCCUUCAUGGGAGAUGAUUGAAAGAUGGUUUCGGCUAUCACUUACAGAUGGGCCCGCGGUGCAUUAGCUAGUUGGUGAGGUAACGGCUCACCAAGGCAACGAUGCAUAGCCGACCUGAGAGGGUGAUCGGCCACACUGGGACUGAGACACGGCCCAGACUCCUACGGGAGGCAGCAGUAGGGAAUCUUCCGCAAUGGACGAAAGUCUGACGGAGCAACGCCGCGUGAGUGAUGAAGGCUUUCGGGUCGUAAAACUCUGUUGUUAGGGAAGAACAAGUACGAGAGUAACUGCUCGUACCUUGACGGUACCUAACCAGAAAGCCACGGCUAACUACGUGCCAGCAGCCGCGGUAAUACGUAGGUGGCAAGCGUUAUCCGGAAUUAUUGGGCGUAAAGCGCGCGCAGGCGGUUUCUUAAGUCUGAUGUGAAAGCCCACGGCUCAACCGUGGAGGGUCAUUGGAAACUGGGGAACUUGAGUGCAGAAGAGAAAAGCGGAAUUCCACGUGUAGCGGUGAAAUGCGUAGAGAUGUGGAGGAACACCAGUGGCGAAGGCGGCUUUUUGGUCUGUAACUGACGCUGAGGCGCGAAAGCGUGGGGAGCAAACAGGAUUAGAUACCCUGGUAGUCCACGCCGUAAACGAUGAGUGCUAAGUGUUAGAGGGUUUCCGCCCUUUAGUGCUGCAGCUAACGCAUUAAGCACUCCGCCUGGGGAGUACGGUCGCAAGACUGAAACUCAAAGGAAUUGACGGGGGCCCGCACAAGCGGUGGAGCAUGUGGGUUUAAUUCGAAGCAACGCGAAGAACCUUACCAGGUCUUGACAUCCUCUGACACUCUAGAGAUAGAGCGUUCCCCUUCGGGGACAGAGUGACAGGUGGUGCAUGGUUGUCGUCAGCUCGUGUCGU